GUGUCAGCAGCCGCGGUAAGACGGAGGGUGCAAGCGUUGUUCGGAAUUACUGGGCGUAAAGGGCGCGUAGGCGGUCUGCUAAGUUCGGUGUGAAAUCCCCUGGCUCAACUGGGGAACUGCGCCGGAAACUGGCAGACUAGAGUACCGGAGAGGAGGGUGGAAUUCCUGGUGUAGCGGUGAAAUGCGUAGAUAUCAGGAGGAACACCGGUGGCGAAGGCGGCCCUCUGGACGGAUACUGACGCUGAGGCGCGAAAGCGUGGGGAUCAAACAGGAUUAGAUACCCUCGUAGUCC
RNAcentral lists this ribosomal RNA (292 nucleotides) under uncultured bacterium. RNAcentral's name for it is "partial 16S ribosomal RNA". It matches the Rfam family "Bacterial small subunit ribosomal RNA", at positions 505 to 796 of the family's 1533-position model. The record is from RNAcentral.